GAUGAACGCUGGCGGCGUGCCUAAUACAUGCAAGUCGAGCGAACAGACGAGGAGCUUGCUCCUCUGACGUUAGCGGCGGACGGGUGAGUAACACGUGGAUAACCUGCCUAUAAGACUGGGAUAACUUCGGGAAACCGGAGCUAAUACCGGAUAAUAUAUUGAACCGCAUGGUUCAAUAGUGAAAGACGGUUUUGCUGUCACUUAUAGAUGGAUCCGCGCCGCAUUAGCUAGUUGGUAAGGUAACGGCUUACCAAGGCAACGAUGCGUAGCCGACCUGAGAGGGUGAUCGGCCACACUGGAACUGAGACACGGUCCAGACUCCUACGGGAGGCAGCAGUAGGGAAUCUUCCGCAAUGGGCGAAAGCCUGACGGAGCAACGCCGCGUGAGUGAUGAAGGUCUUCGGAUCGUAAAACCCUGUUAUUAGGGAAGAACAAAUGUGUAAGUAACUAUGCACGUCUUGACGGUACCUAAUCAGAAAGCCACGGCUAACUACGUG
This 497-nucleotide ribosomal RNA is filed under the name uncultured bacterium. RNAcentral describes it as "partial 16S ribosomal RNA". It matches the Rfam family "Bacterial small subunit ribosomal RNA", at positions 28 to 507 of the family's 1533-position model. The record is from RNAcentral.